Molecule: small RNA, 788 nt
Filed under: Histoplasma capsulatum
Lineage: Eukaryota; Fungi; Ascomycota; Eurotiomycetes; Onygenales; Ajellomycetaceae
Also listed under: 1 other name
Description: hypothetical RNA
Source: RNAcentral
CAAAUGGAGAGUCUCCGCUGUACCCGAUUGGCCAGUCCGUGAUCUGUAGAACUGGUUUUCCUUCAGGUACCGUUUCACCGGCCUUGCGUCCUACAUUUCCUUGGUUUCCAGCAGCAGGAACCACUGCCCCUCCAAUGCCCUGGGGACCCUGGGCCUUGCUCUCCUGCGGACGCGCUACCCAGGGCUCUAAAUGAGGCUAUAUAUACUUAUUUAGCCGGGUAAUAAUAACAAAAACGAUAUAAGCCCAAAAGUCCCCGCAUUCUUACUAUACAUACCAGAAUGCUGAACUGCUUGCUCCCUUGUCAAUUUUCCAUCGACUACACAAAAAGCAACGGGAGUGGGUAUAAAUUAGAACUAGACAGAUAUAUUUUUCUCUUCGUUUUCAGGACAAGGUCCACUCCACUUUCGUGAAAGUUGAAACAGAGCCUGUCCAAUUGAUCUUUCUCGAUUUUGAUCCAUUCCACUCUUUUUCUUGCUUUGGAACAUUACAGAACUUUCGCUGGAAAUAUUUCUACUUGAACGCCGGUAGCCCCAGAGAGAUGUUCCGAAGGUGGUUUUCACGGGACGCUCUAGAUCCGUCUGCGCCUCACUAUUUAUUUCCAUUUGUUCUGGCGAUUAAAUAAGGAAGAAUUGGCCAAUGAAUCGUGCCCAUGUUUCAUAAAGAUACAGAAUCCUCAACCCCCAUGCUAGUUGUAAAUCGGAUAUUCGUGUCUGCGUACUAUGGAAAUCGCAUUGAAAUGUAUUCGCUCCUCCAGGAACAUCUAUCCAUACAUCGAGUAUUUCUCCCC